RNAcentral lists this non-coding RNA (21 nucleotides) under Gallus gallus (chicken). Its record names the gene gga-let-7g-5p. RNAcentral also lists the same sequence under 9 other names. The record is from miRBase by way of RNAcentral. Lineage: Eukaryota; Metazoa; Chordata; Aves; Galliformes; Phasianidae.
UGAGGUAGUAGUUUGUACAGU